RNAcentral lists this ribosomal RNA (1111 nucleotides) under Xylaria venustula. Its description in RNAcentral is "eukaryotic LSU rRNA". The stretch from base 526 to 1111 matches the Rfam family "Eukaryotic large subunit ribosomal RNA", at positions 1 to 597 of the family's 3401-position model. Lineage: Eukaryota; Fungi; Ascomycota; Sordariomycetes; Xylariales; Xylariaceae. The record is from RNAcentral.
GGAUCAUUAAAGAGUUUUUAGAACUCCCUAAACCCAUGUGAACUUACCAUUUGUUGCCUCGGCAGGUCGCGCCUAACCCCGUGAGACCCCUACCCUGUAGGGCCUUACCCGGUGGACGCGGGCUUCCCUGCCGGCGGCCCAUCAAACUCUGUUUUUAUAUUAUAUUUUACAUCUGAAUCUAUAACGGAAUACGUUUAAAACUUUCAACAACGGAUCUCUUGGUUCUGGCAUCGAUGAAGAACGCAGCGAAAUGCGAUAAGUAAUGUGAAUUGCAGAAUUCAGUGAAUCAUCGAAUCUUUGAACGCACAUUGCGCCCAUUAGUAUUCUAGUGGGCAUGCCUGUUCGAGCGUCAUUUCAACCCUUAAGCCUCUGUUGCUUAGUGUUGGGAGCUUACAGCCCUCUGUAGCUCCCCAAAGUUAGUGGCGGAGUCGGUCUCACACUCUAGACGUAGUAAAUCUUUUUUUUAUCUCGCCUACAGAGGAGCCGGCGCCUUGCCGUAAAACCCCCUCAUUUUUUUUACAAGGUUGACCUCGGAUCAGGUAGGAAUACCCGCUGAACUUAAGCAUAUCAAUAAGCGGAGGAAAAGAAACCAACAGGGAUUGCCCUAGUAACGGCGAGUGAAGCGGCAACAGCUCAAAUUUGAAAUCUGGCCUUCGGGUCCGAGUUGUAAUUUGUAGAGGAUGCUUUUGGCGCGGUGCCUUCCGAGUUCCCUGGAACGGGACGCCUUAGAGGGUGAGAGCCCCGUACGGUUGGACACCAAGCCUCUGUAAAGCUCCUUCGACGAGUCGAGUAGUUUGGGAAUGCUGCUCUAAAUGGGAGGUAAAUUUCUUCUAAAGCUAAAUAUUGGCCAGAGACCGAUAGCGCACAAGUAGAGUGAUCGAAAGAUGAAAAGCACUUUGAAAAGAGGGUUAAAUAGCACGUGAAAUUGUUGAAAGGGAAGCGUUUGCGACCAGACCUCUUCCUGGCGGAUCAUCCGGUGUUCUCACCGGUGCACUUUGCCAGGUGGAGGCCAGCAUCGGUUUUCGUAGGGGGAUAAAAGCUUGGGGAACGUAGCUCCCUCGGGAGUGUUAUAGCCCCUCGCACAAUACCCUUACGGGGACCGAGGACCGCG